Molecule: ribosomal RNA, 611 nt
Filed under: uncultured Nitrospira sp.
Lineage: Bacteria; Pseudomonadati; Nitrospirota; Nitrospiria; Nitrospirales; Nitrospiraceae
Description: bacterial SSU rRNA
Rfam family: Bacterial small subunit ribosomal RNA
Source: RNAcentral
CGCCUGGGGAGUACGGCCGCAAGGUUAAAACUUAAAGGAAUUGACGGACUCCUACGGGAGGCAGCAGUGGGGAAUUGUUCGCAAUGGGCGCAAGCCUGAUCCAGCCAUGCCGCGUGAGUGACGAAGGUCUUCGGAUUGUAAAGCUCUUUUGGCGGGGACGAUAAUGACGGUACCCGCAGAAUAAGCCCCGGCUAACUUCGUGCCAGCAGCCGCGGUAAUACGAAGGUGGCAAGCGUUGUUCGGAUUUACUGGGCGUACAGGGAGCGUAGGCGGUUGGAUAAGCCCUCCGUGAAAUCUCCAGGCUUAACCUGGAAAGUGCAGAGGGGACUGUUCAGCUAGAGGAUGGGAGAGGAGCGCGGAAUUCCCGGUGUAGCGGUGAAAUGCGUAGAUAUCAGUCGGAACACCGGUGGCGAAGGCGGCUUCUUGGGCCUGGACUGACGCUGAGGCGCGAAAGCUGGGGGAGCGAACGGGAUUAGAUACCCCGGUAGUCCCAGCCGUAAACGAUGGAUACUAGGUGUCGGGGGUAUCGACCCCUCCGGUGCCGCAGCUAACGCAUUAAGUAUCCCGCCUGGGGAGUACGGCCGCAAGGCUAAAACUUAAAGGAAUUGACG